GCCGUCCAACUACCAGACUAUAUUCUGCAAUCGAAAUCAAUCGUGGGAUUAGAUAAGACUCGAAAUGGAAAACACGUAUAUAAAGACCACCUGUGCGCCUUCCGUUGCUUGGCCGUCCACCAAGGACACCAAACGAACCAACUAGAAAGUCAUACCAAGGCGUUAUUCCAGCGUUGGAUUCAAUAUGCAGAAGACAAGCAACUCGAUUCAACAAAUUUUCAAGGACUCCCGCUUCACCAGAUGGCGUAUUUCGAACAUUGUUUUAGCAUCAACGUCAAUGUGUACCAUCUACGUGACGACGACGUGGCACUCACCGUCUACAAAUCCCGUUGUCAUUAUCCAGACUCUAUGCACGUCAACCAAUAUGAUCAUCAUUUAUCAUACAUCUCGAACUUGUCGGCGUACACUCAGAAAUACCAGUGCAGGACGUGCGAUCGCCAUUUUAAAUUCGUUAACAACAUGAAACAUCACCAAUUGAAAUGUACCGGACAGACCGUCUACCGCUUCAAAGGCGGAUUUUAUUCCAAUCCCAAGGCGAUUAUUAUCCAGAUUUUUAAAGUUAUUUAGCAGAAACUGUGAAACUAACCAUUUAAAUUAAUUAUUGCUCUAUAAUUUUCAACGGUUU
Molecule: long non-coding RNA, 625 nt
Filed under: Mytilus galloprovincialis (Mediterranean mussel)
Lineage: Eukaryota; Metazoa; Mollusca; Bivalvia; Mytilida; Mytilidae
Source: RNAcentral